UACGUAGGGGGCAAGCGUUGUCCGGAAUCAUUGGGCGUAAAGAGCGUGUAGGCGGCCAGAUAAGUCCGCUGUGAAAUCCCGGGGCUCAACCUCGGAACUGCCUUUGAUACUGCAAAUCUCGAGUCCGGAAGAGGUGAGUGGAAUUCCUAGUGUAGAGGUGAAAUUCGUAGAUAUUAGGAAGAACACCAGUGGCGAAGGCGGACUCACUGGUCCGGUACUGACGCUGAGGUGCGAAAGCGUGGGGAGCAAACAGGGAUUAAGAAACCCCAGUAACGUC
RNAcentral lists this ribosomal RNA (277 nucleotides) under uncultured bacterium. RNAcentral describes it as "partial 16S ribosomal RNA". It matches the Rfam family "Bacterial small subunit ribosomal RNA", at positions 524 to 795 of the family's 1533-position model. The record is from RNAcentral.